This 468-nucleotide ribosomal RNA is filed under the name uncultured bacterium. RNAcentral describes it as "partial 16S ribosomal RNA". It matches the Rfam family "Bacterial small subunit ribosomal RNA", at positions 28 to 507 of the family's 1533-position model. The record is from RNAcentral.
GACGAACGCUGGCGGCGCGCCUAACACAUGCCAGUCGAACGGAGUCAAGAGGAGCUUGCUUUUCUUGACUUAGUGGCGAACGGGUGAGUAACGCGUGAGUAACCUGCCCUGGAGUGGGGGACAACAGUUGGAAACGACUGCUAAUACCGCAUAAGCCCACGGAUCCGCAUGGAUCUGCGGGAAAAGGAUUUAUUCGCUUCAGGAUGGACUCGCGUCCAAUUAGCUAGUUGGUGGGGUAACGGCCCACCAAGGCGACGAUUGGUAGCCGGACUGAGAGGUUGAACGGCCACAUUGGGACUGAGACACGGCCCAGACUCCUACGGGAGGCAGCAGUGGGGGAUAUUGCACAAUGGGGGAAACCCUGAUGCAGCGACGCCGCGUGGAGGAAGAAGGUUUUCGGAUUGUAAACUCCUGUCGUUAGGGACGAUAAUGACGGUACCUAACAAGAAAGCACCGGCUAACUACGUG